UGAGUAACCUGCCCUUAACUCUGGGAUAAGCCUGGGAAACUGGGUCUAAUACCGGAUAUGACUCCUCAUCGCAUGGUGGGGGUGAAAGUC
Molecule: ribosomal RNA, 90 nt
Filed under: uncultured bacterium
Lineage: Bacteria
Description: partial 16S ribosomal RNA
Source: RNAcentral